GCUACUGCCUCAUCGUCAGCAAUGUGAACUUCUGUCCUUCCUCGGGGCUCGGCACACGCACUGGCUCCAGUGUGGACUGUGAGAAGCUUCAGUUCCGCUUCCGCUGGCUGCACUUCAUGGUGGAAGUGCAGAAUGACCUGACUGCCAAGAAAAUGGUCGCGGCUUUGAUGGAGAUGGCAGGGCGGGACCACCGUGCCCUGGACUGCUUUGUGGUGGUCAUCCUCUCUCAUGGCUGCCAGGCCAGCCACCUGCAAUUCUCAG
This is a non-coding RNA of Cricetulus griseus (Chinese hamster), 261 nucleotides long. Lineage: Eukaryota; Metazoa; Chordata; Mammalia; Rodentia; Cricetidae. The record is from RefSeq and is a predicted model, not a curated record.